UGCACCCAUAAAGAUGCGAUCGGAUAUGAUGUCGCGCCAGAGCUUGGAAACACACUUGAACUGUACAAGAAGCUCUGCAGGGAGUUUUAGCAGUAUCUCGAAAAGAACAUCUGGAUUGAGGAGGGGUGAAUUUGGCUGAGAGAAGUUCCUUCCCUUUUACGCAUGCAGCGACGGAGUUCCCCAUCUUCUUAGUUCAAGGCAUAUGUUCUUGAAUAUAUAUCAAGCAGUUCAUCCACAAUGGAACUAGUAUGUAUUGCCUGGAGAUGCCUGGAUGAUAUAUAUAGUGUGAGGAAAGAGAAGUCCAGAGAGGAAUAGCAAGUACCUUAGAAGGGAUUAUAUGGAAGAGGAGACUUUUAAUUGUUAAACCUUAGGGAAGGGACUAUAUGGAAACUUCCUCUGCUAAAUUUUAUUUUGCAAGUUGCCUGCUGACAUAAAUUCUUUAUCAUUGUUCAUUAGAAAAUUUUGGUUAGGACAACUUGCACUUCUCUCCGAACCCUCCCGACUUUUGAGUUUGGACUUUGGACUGUUUCUUUUGUGAACAAGUGUUUGUCGAUGAUAACAAAAUUUGCGCUUAGUUUUAUAUUUUAAA
This is a long non-coding RNA of Tripterygium wilfordii, 589 nucleotides long. RefSeq lists it as uncharacterized. The record is from RefSeq and is a predicted model, not a curated record. Lineage: Eukaryota; Viridiplantae; Streptophyta; Magnoliopsida; Celastrales; Celastraceae. The transcript is spliced from 2 exons.